RNAcentral lists this ribosomal RNA (443 nucleotides) under uncultured bacterium. RNAcentral describes it as "bacterial SSU rRNA". It matches the Rfam family "Bacterial small subunit ribosomal RNA", at positions 337 to 794 of the family's 1533-position model. The record is from RNAcentral.
GCCUACGGGGGGCAGCAGUGGGGAAUCUUCCGCAAUGGGCGAAAGCCUGACGGAGCAACGCCGCGUGAGUGAAGAAGGCCCUCGGGUCGUAAAGCUCUGUGAUCAGGGAAGAAGAAAGUGACGGUACCUGAAGAGGAAGCCCCGGCUAACUACGUGCCAGCAGCCGCGGUAAAACGUAGGGGGCAAGCGUUGUCCGGAAUUACUGGGCGUAAAGGGCGUGUAGGUGGCCCGUGAAGUCGAGAGUGAAAACCGAGGGCUUAACCUUCGGCCUGCUUUCGAAACCAGCGGGCUUGAGUGCAGUAGAGGGAAGUGGAAUUCCCAGUGUAGCGGUGAAAUGCGUAGAUAUUGGGAGGAACACCAGUGGCGAAAGCGGCUUCCUGGCCUGCAACUGACACUGAGGCGCGAAAGCGUGGGGAGCAAACAGGAUUAGAUACCCCGGUAGC